RNAcentral lists this ribosomal RNA (497 nucleotides) under uncultured bacterium. RNAcentral describes it as "partial 16S ribosomal RNA". It matches the Rfam family "Bacterial small subunit ribosomal RNA", at positions 28 to 507 of the family's 1533-position model. The record is from RNAcentral.
GAUGAACGCUGGCGGCGUGCCUAAUACAUGCAAGUCGAGCGAACAGACGAGGAGCUUGCUCCUCUGACGUUAGCGGCGGACGGGUGAGUAACACGUGGAUAACCUACCUAUAAGACUGGGAUAACUUCGGGAAACCGGAGCUAAUACCGGAUAAUAUAUUGAACCGCAUGGUUCAAUAGUGAAAGACGGUGUUGCUGUCACUUAUAGAUGGAUCCGCGCCGCAUUAGCUAGUUGGUAAGGUAACGGCUUACCAAGGCAACGAUGCGUAGCCGACCUGAGAGGGUGAUCGGCCACACUGGAACGGAGACACGGUCCAGACUCCUACGGGAGGCAGCAGUAGGGAAUCGUCCGCAAUGGGCGAAAGCCUGACGGAGCAACGCCGCGUGAGUGAUGAAGGUCUUCGGAUCGUAAAACUCUGUUAUUAGGGAAGAACAGAUGUGUAAGUAACUAUGCACGUCUUGACGGUACCUAAUCAGAAAGCCACGGCUAACUACGUG